This 253-nucleotide ribosomal RNA is filed under the name uncultured bacterium. Its description in RNAcentral is "partial 16S ribosomal RNA". It matches the Rfam family "Bacterial small subunit ribosomal RNA", at positions 524 to 776 of the family's 1533-position model. The record is from RNAcentral.
UACAGAGGGUGCAAGCGUUGUUCGGAAUUAUUGGGCGUAAAGGGCGCGUAGGCGGUGCGGUAAGUCUGUAGUGAAAUCUCUGGGCUCAACUCAGAGUCUGCUGCAGAAACUGCCGUGCUUGAGUGUGGGAGAGGUGAGUGGAAUUCCCGGUGUAGCGGUGAAAUGCGUAGAUAUCGGAAGGAACACCUGUGGCGAAAGCGGCUCACUGGACCAUUACUGACGCUGAGGCACGAAAGCUAGGGGAGCAAACAGG